AGCAGCCGCGGUAAUUCCAGCUCCAAUAGCGUAUAUUAAAGUUGUCGCAGUUAAAAAGCUCGUAGUUGAAUUUUAGGCCUGGCCGGGCGGUCCGUCUUUGGCGAGUACUGUCCUGUGUCGGGUCCACCUUCUGGUGAACCAGUAUGUCCUUUAUUGGGUGUGCCGGGGAGCCAGGACCAGUUACCUUGAAAAAAUUAGAGUGUUUAAAGCAGGCAUUUGCUUGAAUAGAUUAGCAUGGAAUAAUAGAAUAGGACGUUGUGGUUCUAUUUUGUUGGUUUCUAGGACCACCGUAAUGAUUAAUAGGGACAGUUGGGGGCAUUAGUAUUCAAUUGUCAGAGGUGAAAUUCUUGGAUUUAUUGAAGACUAACUAUUGCGAAAGCAUUUGCCAAGGAUGUUUUCAUUAAUCAAGAACGAAGUUAGGGGAUCGAAGACGAUCAGAUACCGUCGUAGUCUUAACCAUAAACUAUGCCGACUGGGAAUCGGGCGAUGUUGAAAAAAUGACGCGCUCGGCACCUCAUGG
Molecule: ribosomal RNA, 520 nt
Filed under: uncultured Archaeospora
Lineage: Eukaryota; Fungi; Glomeromycota; Glomeromycetes; Archaeosporales; Archaeosporaceae
Description: SSU rRNA
Rfam family: Eukaryotic small subunit ribosomal RNA
Source: RNAcentral